Molecule: small nucleolar RNA, 110 nt
Organism: Cornus florida
Lineage: Eukaryota; Viridiplantae; Streptophyta; Magnoliopsida; Cornales; Cornaceae
Source: RefSeq, a predicted model, not a curated record
UACCCUUGUGAUGAGGGCAUUUUCUAAGCAAAUCAUUAAACCUUUCCCAUGCCUCAUGAAACAUUUCCCCAUCCCCUUGAGAAAAUUCUGUAAAUGAAGUUCUCAUGGCA